This 207-nucleotide ribosomal RNA is filed under the name uncultured bacterium. RNAcentral's name for it is "partial 16S ribosomal RNA". It matches the Rfam family "Bacterial small subunit ribosomal RNA", at positions 568 to 774 of the family's 1533-position model. The record is from RNAcentral.
CGCGUAGGCGGCCUGAUAAGUAGGGGGUGAAAUCCUGCGGCUUAACCGCAGGGCUGCCUUCUAAACUGUUGGGCUUGAGCACAGUAGAGGCAGGUGGAAUUCCCGGUGUAGCGGUGGAAUGCGUAGAGAUCGGGAAGAACAUCAGUGGCGAAGGCGGCCUGCUGGGCUGUUGCUGACGCUGAGGCGCGACAGCGUGGGGAGCAAACA